This is a long non-coding RNA of Heterocephalus glaber (naked mole-rat), 1188 nucleotides long. The record is from Ensembl. NCBI's taxonomy places the organism in Eukaryota, Metazoa, Chordata, Mammalia, Rodentia, Bathyergidae.
GAAAAUAAAAGCACCUGGUACAGGUUUCAUGAGAUCCAUUUGGAUUCGCUAUGUUCCAAACCUGCUGCUGAAUGGCACUUGUCUACUUCAUGUGUUGAACAGUCUGUGGCCUUGGAAUAGGUCUCAAUUUGAAGAACUGUUAUUGGAUGCCCCAGAGGUUGAUGGAAUAGCAGCUCCAGCAAGGCUACUUGUGGAGACUGACUUUCAAAUGUGAGGCAGCAAGUAGGCAUCACAGGUCAACUGCUGGACGUCAAUGUGCUCCUCCUUUCGGUAGGGCAAGCAUCGCCGGAUAAACGCCUUUGCUUCAGGUGUAAGGAUGGGCUUUGGUGGGAACUGCACUUCAGUAGCUUUAAGAAUAGUAUUCUCUUGUAGAAUGUCCUGCUGGGACUGGUUGUGGCCAAAAGGCUUUCUUCCAUAAAGACACUGGUAGAAGAUUACACCCACUGACCAGACAUCCACUUUAUUUGAGAUCUUCGUGGUUCUUUCCCAACCACAAAACACUCUGGUGCUAAAGCCAAAUUUGAAGAACUUGAUCUCUCCUGCUUACAGUGGUUAAAUUUUGGAAAUCUGGAAAUGAAGCUAUUGGAAUUUCAAGAAAGCUCCAUCUGAAAAAAUAAAUUCUAUGAACUGCAUGCAACACUUGAAAAGAGAGAGAAGAUAGAGUGUGAAGGGAUGACAAAGGAUAACACAGUUGAUUAAUUUUUGCCUUUAUAGAAGUUUUAUGUACAAGUCAUGCUGCCCUUAGCUGCAAUAUUGUGCUGCCAUCCAAGAUGUCACAGCAUCACAGAAUCAUUGAGACCUCUGCUGUGACCAGUGGUGUGAGUUCUUCCUUUCCCACACACCAACUUCUGGCUCUUCAGGCAAGCCACUGUGAGCUAAUAGGCAGACUCAGACUUUUAAUAUGAAAAGCCAAUUUAUGAAUUUGUAGCUCUCUCAGGGCAGUCUCGAUUACAAUUAAAGCAGUUGGGAUUGCUUUUCUUAUUUUGUUGGGAUCAUCUUAUGCUUGUGAACAUUUCUUUGAAUUAUAUAAAAUAUGAUACAAGAACAGACAGAUGACCUGAGUGCUACAUGUGUUGCUCUCAAAUUAAUGAAGUAUGAGCCAAGGUUUGACAAAUUAUCUGCAUGAAUACAACAGCAGUGAUUACAUUGAUAGUGCAAAAAUACACCAAAUACAAACUUUUACCUUCC